This 90-nucleotide non-coding RNA is filed under the name Bordetella genomosp. 9. The record is from RNAcentral. Lineage: Bacteria; Pseudomonadati; Pseudomonadota; Betaproteobacteria; Burkholderiales; Alcaligenaceae.
CUCUUUGGGCGGGCGAUUGCGGGGAGGCUUCGGCCUGCCGGUUUCCUUUGUCACCGGUCUGUCAACCCUGCUCUCUGCCCGCCCACCCCG